CCUACGGGAGGCAGCAGUGAGGAAUAUUGGUCAAUGGACGAGAGUCUGAACCAGCCAAGUAGCGUGAAGGAUGACUGCCCUAUGGGUUGUAAACUUCUUUUAUAUGGGAAUAAAACGUUCCACGUGUGGGAUUUUGUAUGUACCAUAUGAAUAAGGAUCGGCUAACUCCGUGCCAGCAGCCGCGGUAAUACGGAGAAUCCGAGCGUUAUCCGGAUUUAUUGGGUUUAAAGGGAGCGUAGGUGGAUUGUUAAGUCAGUUGUGAAAGUUUGCGGCUCAACCGUAAAAUUGCAGUUGAAACUGGCAGUCUUGAGUACAGUAGAGGUGGGCGGAAUUCGUGGUGUAGCGGUGAAAUGCUUAGAUAUCACGAAGAACUCCGAUUGCGAAGGCAGUUCACUGGACUGCAACUGACACUGAGGCUCGAAAGUGUGGGUAUCAAACAGGAUUAGAUACCCUUGUAGUC
This 460-nucleotide ribosomal RNA is filed under the name uncultured bacterium. RNAcentral describes it as "partial 16S ribosomal RNA". It matches the Rfam family "Bacterial small subunit ribosomal RNA", at positions 338 to 795 of the family's 1533-position model. The record is from RNAcentral.